UUUCCCCCCCUGUUCAACAAAAACAUCUCUUUUUGAUUAUAAUUUAAAGUAGGACCUGCCCACUGAAUAAAAUUUGAAGGGCCGCAGUAUUUUGACUGUGCAAAGGUAGCAUAAUCAUUAGUUUUUUAAUUGAAAGCUUGUAUGAAUGGUUUGAUGAGAAGAUAACUUUCUAAAUUUUAUUAUUUAAAAAUUUUAUUUUUAAGUUAAAAAGCUUAAAUUUUUUUAAAAGACGAGAAGACCCUAUAGAGUUUAAUUUAUAAAAGAUUUUUAAUUUAAAGAAUUAUAAAAUUUAAAAUUUUUAUUAAAUUUGAUUGGGGUGAUAAAAAAAUUAGAUUAACUUUUUUAACUUUAACCAUUAAUUUAUGAAAAAUUGAUCCAUUUUUAUGAUUAAAAGAAUAAAUUACCUUAGGGAUAACAGCGUUAUUUUUUUUUAGAGUUCAAAUCGAAAGAAAAGAUUGCGACCUCGAUGUUGGAUUAAAGUUAAAUUUAGGUGUAGAAGCUUAAAUAUUUGGUCCCGUUCCCACCAAUUUUUUCUUG
Molecule: ribosomal RNA, 537 nt
Filed under: Harmonia axyridis
Lineage: Eukaryota; Metazoa; Arthropoda; Insecta; Coleoptera; Coccinellidae
Description: partial 16S ribosomal RNA
Rfam family: Archaeal large subunit ribosomal RNA
Source: RNAcentral